CGGAGGAUCCGAGCGUUAUCCGGAUUUAUUGGGUUUAAAGGGUCCGUAGGCGGAUCCGUAAGUCAGUGGUGAAAUCUCACAGCUUAACUGUGAAACUGCCAUUGAUACUGCGGGUCUUGAGUAAGGUAGAAGUGGCUGGAAUAAGUAGUGUAGCGGUGAAAUGCAUAGAUAUUACUUAGAACACCAAUUGCGAAGGCAGGUCACUAUGUCUUAACUGACGCUGAUGGACGAAAGCGUGGGGAGCGAACAGGAUUAGAUACCCUGGUAGUCCACGCCGUAAACGAUGCUAACUCGUUUUUGGGCUUUCGGGUUCAGAGACUAAGCGAAAGUGAUAAGUUAGCCACCUGGGGAGUACGUUCGCAAGAAUG
This 368-nucleotide ribosomal RNA is filed under the name uncultured organism. Its description in RNAcentral is "bacterial SSU rRNA". It matches the Rfam family "Bacterial small subunit ribosomal RNA", at positions 526 to 896 of the family's 1533-position model. The record is from RNAcentral.